Molecule: ribosomal RNA, 429 nt
Filed under: Bacteroidota bacterium
Lineage: Bacteria; Pseudomonadati; Bacteroidota
Description: Bacteroidetes bacterium partial 16S ribosomal RNA
Rfam family: Bacterial small subunit ribosomal RNA
Source: RNAcentral
UAGGGAAUCUUCGGCAAUGGGGGGAACCCUGACCGAGCAACGCCGCGUGAGUGAAGAAGGUUUUCGGAUCGUAAAGCUCUGUUGUUAAGGAAGAACGAGUGUGAGAAUGGAAAGUUCAUACUGUGACGGUACUUAACCAGAAAGGGACGGCUAACUACGUGCCAGCAGCCGCGGUAAUACGUAGGUCCCGAGCGUUGUCCGGAUUUAUUGGGCGUAAAGCGAGCGCAGGCGGUUAGAAAAGUCUGAAGUGAAAGGCAGUGGCUCAACCAUUGUAGGCUUUGGAAACUGUUUAACUUGAGUGCAGAAGGGGAGAGUGGAAUUCCAUGUGUAGCGGUGAAAUGCGUAGAUAUAUGGAGGAACACCGGUGGCGAAAGCGGCUCUCUGGUCUGUAACUGACGCUGAUGUGCGAAAGCGUGGGGAUCAAACAGG